Molecule: ribosomal RNA, 83 nt
Filed under: Aquibacillus salsiterrae
Lineage: Bacteria; Bacillati; Bacillota; Bacilli; Caryophanales; Bacillaceae
Description: Bacterial large subunit ribosomal RNA
Rfam family: Bacterial large subunit ribosomal RNA
Source: Rfam by way of RNAcentral
AGACGAUGAGGUUGAUAGGUCCGAGGUGGAAGCAUGGCAACAUGUGCAGCUGACGGAUACUAAUCGAUCGAGGACUUAACUAA